RNAcentral lists this ribosomal RNA (569 nucleotides) under bacterium. Its description in RNAcentral is "bacterial SSU rRNA". It matches the Rfam family "Bacterial small subunit ribosomal RNA", at positions 870 to 1435 of the family's 1533-position model. The record is from RNAcentral.
CGCCUGGGGAGUACGGCCGCAAGGUUAAAACUCAAAUGAAAUUGACGGGGGCCCGCACAAGCGGUGGAGCAUGUGGUUUAAUUCGAUGCAACGCGAAGAACCUUACCUACUCUUGACAUCCAGAGAACUUUCCAGAGAUGGAUUGGUGCCUUCGGGAACUCUGAGACAGGUGCUGCAUGGCUGUCGUCAGCUCGUGUUGUGAAAUGUUUGGGUUAAGUCCCGCAACGAGCGCAACCCUUAUCCUUUGUUGCCAGCGGUCCGGCCGGGAACUCAAAGGAGACUGCCAGUGAUAAACUGGAGGAAGGUGGGGAUGACGUCAAGUCAUCAUGGCCCUUACGAGUAGGGCUACACACGUGCUACAAUGGCGCAUACAAAGAGAAGCGAACUCGCGAGAGCAAGCGGACCUCAUAAAGUGCGUCGUAGUCCGGAUUGGAGUCUGCAACUCGACUCCAUGAAGUCGGAAUCGCUAGUAAUCGUAGAUCAGAAUGCUACGGUGAAUACGUUCCCGGGCCUUGUACACACCGCCCGUCACACCAUGGGAAGUGGGUUGCAAAAAGAAGUAGGUAGCU